AAUCUUCCGCAAUGGACGCAAGUCUGACGGAGCAACGCCGCGUGCGUGAUGAAGGUUUUCGUAUCGUAAAACUCUGUUGUUAGAGAAGAACACGUACCGUUUGAAUAAGGCGGUACCUUGACGGUACCUAACGAGAAAUCCCCGGCUAACUACGUGCCAGCCGCCGAGGUAAUAAGUAGGGGGCAAGCGUUGGACGGAAGUAUUGGGCGUAAAGGGAGCGCAGGCGGUCUUUUAAGUCUGAUGUGAAAGCGCACGGCUCAACCGUGGAGGGUCAUUGGAAACUGGGAGACUUGAGUGUAGGAGAGGAAAGUGGAAUUCCACGUGUAGCGGUGAAAUGCGUAGAGAUGUGGAGGAACACCAGUGGCGAAGGCGACUUUCUGGCCUACAACUGACGCUGAGGCGCGAAAGCGUGGGUAGCGAACAG
Molecule: ribosomal RNA, 424 nt
Filed under: uncultured bacterium
Lineage: Bacteria
Description: partial 16S ribosomal RNA
Rfam family: Bacterial small subunit ribosomal RNA
Source: RNAcentral